This 343-nucleotide unclassified non-coding RNA is filed under the name uncultured fungus. Its description in RNAcentral is "sequence contains ITS1". The stretch from base 1 to 104 matches the Rfam family "5.8S ribosomal RNA", at positions 50 to 154 of the family's 154-position model. The record is from RNAcentral. Lineage: Eukaryota; Fungi.
GAAUCGCGAUAGGAAUUGCGAAUUGCAGAAUUCAGUGAAUCAUCGUAACUUUGAACGCAAACUGCGCUUGGGGGCUGACCCCGAGCAUGCCUCUUUGAGUGUCGGUCACUUUGUCUUGUUGAUUUUCCACAGUCGAUGGGGAUUUGAGCGUUUUGUACGGAUCGCUCCAAGUGUCGGGUUCCGUGCCUCUGUGGCGCCGAUAGUCUAUGCGAGUGGAGCUGAUUCAGAUUCACGAGCGACAGUCGUUGUCAUAAGAGGUGCAUUUCGAGCCCACUCUGUCUGCUAGUCAGACACACUCUUGACCAACGACCUCAAAUGAGGUAAGACCACCCGCUGAACUUAA